Molecule: ribosomal RNA, 429 nt
Filed under: Chloroflexota bacterium
Lineage: Bacteria; Bacillati; Chloroflexota
Description: Chloroflexi bacterium partial 16S ribosomal RNA
Rfam family: Bacterial small subunit ribosomal RNA
Source: RNAcentral
UGGGGAAUAUUGCACAAUGGGCGCAAGCCUGAUGCAGCCAUGCCGCGUGUAUGAAGAAGGCCUUCGGGUUGUAAAGUACUUUCAGCGGGGAGGAAGGGAGUAAAGUUAAUACCUUUGCUCAUUGACGUUACCCGCAGAAGAAGCACCGGCUAACUCCGUGCCAGCAGCCGCGGUAAUACGGAGGGUGCAAGCGUUAAUCGGAAUUACUGGGCGUAAAGCGCACGCAGGCGGUUUGUUAAGUCAGAUGUGAAAUCCCCGGGCUCAACCUGGGAACUGCAUCUGAUACUGGCAAGCGUGAGUCUCGUAGAGGGGGGUAGAAUUCCAGGUGUAGCGGUGAAAUGCGUAGAGAUCUGGAGGAAUACCGGUGGCGAAGGCGGCCCCCUGGACAAAGACUGACGCUCAGGUGCGAAAGCGUGGGGAGCAAACAGG